UACGGAGGGUGCGAGCGUUGCUCGGAAUUACUGGGCGUAAAGCGUGCGCAGGCGGCAUGUCAAGUCAGACGUGAAAGACCGGGGCUCAACCUCGGGAGGUCGUUUGAAACUGACAAGCUUGAGUACGGGAGAGGGGUGUGGAAUUCCCAGUGUAGGAGUGAAAUCCGUAGAUAUUGGGAGGAACACCAGUGGCGAAGGCGACACCCUGGCCCGAGACUGACGCUCAGGCACGAAAGCGUGGGGAGCAAACAGG
This 253-nucleotide ribosomal RNA is filed under the name uncultured bacterium. Its description in RNAcentral is "partial 16S ribosomal RNA". It matches the Rfam family "Bacterial small subunit ribosomal RNA", at positions 524 to 776 of the family's 1533-position model. The record is from RNAcentral.